Molecule: long non-coding RNA, 1783 nt
Filed under: Mus musculus (house mouse)
Lineage: Eukaryota; Metazoa; Chordata; Mammalia; Rodentia; Muridae
Description: predicted gene 8630 (Gm8630)
Source: RNAcentral
ACUCCCUUUCUGAAGUGGCAAUCUGGGUGACUGGAAAGUACGAACACAUCUCUAUUCUGGUACAGCUUGCGGAGAGCUGCAAGUUACAGAACGGAACUUAGGAAUUGCACUCGGGCUGGUACAUCAGAGGCGUGCCCACUGUGGAGUGUGUGAAGAUCUGAACCGCCGAGGUGCUUAGCUCUGAUUUUGUAAAAUCAAAUAAAUUAAAAUAAAAUACUGCACUGAAAAGCAUCUUCCUUGAUGGUCUUGGGAAGGAAUCCCUCCUGGAGAUAGAAUACUUUGGUUUCAAAGAAAAGCUAAUACACACCAACUAAACUCUCCUAAUCAGGCAUUGCUGUGACACUCCAGAAGGUUGGAACUAAGUAAUUAUGAUCCCGUAAGGCAAGACUUCCAGCUGCUGAAGUAGGUCAGACAUCCGACUCAACUCCACUAUCCCCUGCUCAGAAUCUAAGGUGACUUGCUGUCUUGUGGGCCCCAUGUUCUUGAUACUCACUGAUCCGCCAUGGGGAGCCAUAGAGAAGGCCUUCACCUGUAGAGCCAAGUCUAAUCUCCUGUACAAGGCCUCUCUGUGCUCCCAGCCAUGACCACCAGUCCAAGCCAGCUGCUGUAGACAAGCCAAGGACACCUUCCCAUGGGAUUCAGCUGGAGCUCCCCUCUUUUCCCCCUAGGCCUGGGCUAGAUCCAGCCCGUGGGCCUCCCACUCAGUUCUCAGAUCUUCCACGGCUCCCAGGACUCUCGGCUCUCAGUUCCUGGGUGCCCAAGAGCCUGAGAACCAGACUGCCCUGGUCCCUGCAGGCCCGGGGACCCACCAACCCUGAGUCAGUUCUGGCUCACCCCCACCCCCUGACCUCAGACUGUGCUUUCCCACCCCUGGAGCAGUGUCCUGUGGCUGACAUCCAUCCCCAGGCAUGGGGUAAGCACAGUCAAUACUCCCUCAUCCUGCCUCCCCAAAUGGCCAGAGCCCUGUGGCAGAGAAGACCCAGAACCCCAUUAACCCCAAAACAGAGCAUAAAGGAUAUCUUUCUUUCCUUCUCAUUUUACUAAGUCAUGGGAAACUCUAGAAUUUAGUCCAGCCUGGAAAUUUUGAAAGGAGAAUCCAUGAAUAUUCAGAAGAUUAAUGAUAAAUAUUCCAUAUGUUACAAUAUAAUUAGUAUUUUUACCCUAGAUGAUAUCUCAUCCCAUCUAUGUUAAAUAAUUGGCUAAAUAUUGCAACCAUAGCUAAUAUUUACAUUGACCUUAAGUGAAAUACUAUAAGAUUGCUAAGAUUAUCUUGGUACAUAUUUUUCUGAACUGAAGAUUAUAAAAAGAGACUUCUAUAUAGUUCAUUUAUCUUAUAUGUCUUUGGUUGAAUUUUGAAAAUAUACAUAAUGCCUUUUUGGUGAUGUUCUACUUUUAAAAACACAACAAACAUUUGUUUCAUUAUAAUAAUAAAGGUUAAUGAAAACUCUUAUUCCCACACUUUCCUAUUUUUGAAUUUUAUUUAUCCAUAUUUAGGCAUGCUGGUGAGAUUUAAGUUCUUGUUUAUUCAAUUAAAAGUGCAUUCUUUCAAUUCAAAAUUAGUCAAUUAGGUAAUAUGGCAGUUUAUUAUUGAAAUGAUUUAACAUCAGGAAAUUAAUCUAAUUAUGUGAUUACUUUAUUGAGUAUAUUUUUUGAGUUGCAUAUAAACAAAUAGAUAUUGUACUUUCCCCCCAAAGGAUGACACUGUGGAUAGUAUGAAAAUAAAAUCAAUUUAUGUGAAAGUAAAUCUAAAUUCCAUCUAUAAAAUAAAAAAGAAUUUUUUACU